GAAUCAUUUACUGAGCACUCGGAGGUUGAAAAACUCAUUGACGAACUGAGGACGUCAGCCCAACAUCAGACAAACCAAACGGAUAUUCGUUUAGUGGAGAGAAACUGGCAAAGGUUUUCGUUCAUUCUAGAUCAAUACCAAGAGCAACCACAUUUGAUCGAUUCACACCUCGAUGGACUACUCACUAAAAGCAUCAACAUCAUUCGAGAGGAAGUGCUGGAUUAUGAGGUGAAACAUGUGGCCUCUGAUGCCUCUACUUUAUAUCGAAAGUCAGGGGCUACAAAUUUGUAGCAAGACAUCUUCCUCAUGAGUCUGCCGAUCUGGAGCCUUUGCUACAUUACUUGGAAAACCAAGACCCUGGUGUGCAACUAAAAUGGGAGACUCAUUACGUUUUGCUUCUCUGGCUCAGCAUUGUAGUUAAAAUCCCAUUCCACCUUCAGCGAUUUGACACCAGUACUUCAGAGCCAAUCAUGGAAAGAAUUCUGAAUGUCUGUAAGAAAUACCUGGCUGGGACAACAAAAGCUCAGGACAUGGCCUUUUAUGUAUUGGCAAUCUAUCUUACAAGGCCUGAUGUCAAAGAUUCCUAUCUACCGGGAUUCAUCAAUUGGGCUCAUGAGGCUCUUACCAAAGAUGAGUGCUCAGUUCAAAAAAGGAGUUCUUUCAACGUUGGCCGGCGUAUUCAAACAUGGGCAAAGAGAACAAAUGAUGGAGCAUGCACAUGCUGUGCUGCGUACCAUCCUGACGAUUAAAUUCCAACCGUCAGAAUUGCUUAUACCUAGUUAAGAAACCGUUGGUGAAGCUGACGCAGCGAAUAGGUUUGAUAUUCUUGAAACCUCGAGUUGCCUCUUGGAGAUACCAGCGGGGCAGCAGAUCAUAAGCUGCCAAUCUGCAACAGAGCCAACCCGUUGAGACUAAAGCAGCUAUUUUGGUGAAUGAUGAAGAUGACCACGAUUACGACGUGCCGGAAGAAAUCAAAGAAGUACUUGACGAGAUCCUGCAAGCCCUCCGAGACAAGAACCGUGAAGUCCAGUACUCUGCAGCAAAAGGCAUUGGGCGGCUGACCAGUCGCUUAUCAAAGAACUUUGCCGACCAGGUAAUUGAAUCGAUCAUGGAACUUUUUUCACUCCGGGAGUCGGAUAUGGCCUGGCACGCAGGAUGUUUGGCUUUGGCCGAAUUAGCCCGUCGUGGAUUGCUGUUGCCCCAGCGAUUGUCUUCUGUCUUGCCUUUUGUGGAGCAGGCCAUGCUGUACGAUGAGUUAGGCGGAAACUUUUCCGUUGGCUCGGCUGUACGUGAUGCCGCUUGUUACCUCUGCUGGGCUCUUGCCCGAUCCUAAGACCCGUCUCUGCUCCAGCCAUUCGUCCAUCAGUUGGCUAAAGCCAUAGUCAUCACCUCCGUGUUCGAUCGUGAGGUCAACUGCUGACGGGCUGCCGCUUCUGCCUUCCAGGAACACGUCGGUCGACAGGUCACUUUUCCUCACGGCAUCGACAUUCUGACCACCUGCGAUUAGUUCGCUUACGUAAAAAUGCCUAUCUCCAACUCAGUCUUUUCUUGGCGCAAUACGAAGAGUACCGGCCGCAUCUCAUCCAGCAUUUAGUGGAUCGUAAAGUCAUCCAUUGGGACACGGUUAUUCGACAGCUAACAUCUCGGGCCUUGCAUCAAAUGACGUUCCUCGAUCCGGAGAGUAUGAAACUGAUUCUUUCUACUCAGAUCCUUCCUCGCUGCACAAAUCCUGAACUCUAUUUACGGCACGGAAGCAUUUUGGCCAGUGGCAAAGUCAUCAGCGCUCUUUGUCAAGUGGCAAAAGACCAUCAACGUCGUCUGCCAGAUGAACUUGGUCAGUUACCGCUGGUCAUUUCUUACUGA
Daphnia pulicaria is the source of this 1863-nucleotide long non-coding RNA. RefSeq lists it as uncharacterized. Lineage: Eukaryota; Metazoa; Arthropoda; Branchiopoda; Diplostraca; Daphniidae. The transcript is spliced from 10 exons. The record is from RefSeq and is a predicted model, not a curated record.